This 454-nucleotide ribosomal RNA is filed under the name uncultured bacterium. RNAcentral describes it as "partial 16S ribosomal RNA". It matches the Rfam family "Bacterial small subunit ribosomal RNA", at positions 28 to 507 of the family's 1533-position model. The record is from RNAcentral.
GAUGAACGCUGACAGAAUGCUUAACACAUGCAAGUCAACUUGAACUUCGGUUUGGGUGGCGGACGGGUGAGUAACGCGUAAAGAACUUGCCUCACAGAUAGGGACAACAUUUGGAAACGAAUGCUAAUACCUGAUAUUAUGAUUAUAUGGCAUCGUAUAAUUAUGAAAGCUAUAUGCGCUGUGAGAGAGCUUUGCGUCCCAUUAGCUAGUUGGAGAGGUAACGGCUCACCAAGGCGAUGAUGGGUAGCCGGCCUGAGAGGGUGAUCGGCCACAAGGGGACUGAGACACGGCCAUUACUCCUACGGGAGGCAGCAGUGGGGAAUAUUGGACAAUGGACCAAGAGUCUGAUCCAGCAAUUCUGUGUGCACGAUGAAGUUUUUCGGAAUGUAAAGUGCUUUCAGUUGGGAAGAAAAAAAUGACGGUACCAACAGAAGAAGUGACGGCUAAAUACGUG